RNAcentral lists this ribosomal RNA (301 nucleotides) under uncultured bacterium. Its description in RNAcentral is "partial 16S ribosomal RNA". It matches the Rfam family "Bacterial small subunit ribosomal RNA", at positions 509 to 807 of the family's 1533-position model. The record is from RNAcentral.
CAGCAGCCGCGGGAAUACGGAGGGUGCAAGCGUUAAUCGGAAUUACUGGGCGUAAAGCGCACGCAGGCGGUUUGUUAAGUCAGAUGUGAAAUCCCCGAGCUUAACUUGGGAACUGCGUUUGAAACUGGCAAGCUAGAGUCUUGUAGAGGGGGGUAGAAUUCCAGGUGUAGCGGUGAAAUGCGUAGAGAUCUGGAGGAAUACCGGUGGCGUAGGCGGCCCCCUGGACAAAGACUGACGCUCAGGUGCGAAAGAGUAGGGAGCAAACAGGAUUAGAUACCCGCGUAGUCCCUGUCUCUUAUAC